UCAGAUGCAUUACUUUUUAGCUCACCUGGCCCGAAGGGCCAAGUGAGCUUUUCUCAUCACUUGGCGUCCGGCGUCCGUCGUCGUCCGUCGUCGUCCGUCGUCGUCCUGCGUCCGUCGUCGUUAACUUUUACAAAAAUCUUCUCCUCUGAAACUGCUGGGCCAAAUUUAACCAAACAUGGCCAAAAUCAUUAUUAGGGUAUCUAGUUUAAAAAUUGUGUCCGGUGACCCGCCA
This 232-nucleotide long non-coding RNA is filed under the name Mytilus galloprovincialis (Mediterranean mussel). Lineage: Eukaryota; Metazoa; Mollusca; Bivalvia; Mytilida; Mytilidae. The record is from RNAcentral.